This 500-nucleotide ribosomal RNA is filed under the name uncultured bacterium. RNAcentral's name for it is "partial 16S ribosomal RNA". It matches the Rfam family "Bacterial small subunit ribosomal RNA", at positions 30 to 523 of the family's 1533-position model. The record is from RNAcentral.
AUUGAACGCUGGCGGCAUGCCUUACACAUGCAAGUCGAACGGUAACAGGGAGCUUGCUCCGCUGACGAGUGGCGAACGGGUGAGUAAUGUAUCGGAACGUACCUUUUAGUGGGAGAUAACGUAGCGAAAGUUACGCUAAUACCGCAUAUUCUCUGAGGAGGAAAGCAGGGGACCUUCGGGCCUUGCGCUAAUAGAGCGGCUGAUAUCAGAUUAGCUAGUUGGUGAGGUAAAGGCUCACCAAGGCGACGAUCUGUAGCGGGUCUGAGAGGAUGAGCCGCCACACUGGAACUGAGACACGGUCCAGACUCCUACGGGAGGCAGCAGUGGGGAAUUUUGGACAAGUGGGGCAACCCUGAUCCAGCCAUGCCGCGUGAGUGAAGAAGGCCUUCGGGUUGUAAAGCUCUUUCGGCCGGGAAAAAAUCGCAUGGGCUAAUACCCUGUGUGGAUGAUGGUACCGGAAUAAGAAGCACCGGCUAACCACGUGCCAGCAGCCGCCGUAA